CCUACGGGUGGCAGCAGUGGGGAAUAUUGGACAAUGGGCGAAAGCCUGAUCCAGCCAUGCCGCGUGUGUGAAGAAGGCCUUCGGGUUGUAAAGCACUUUCAGUGGGGAAGAAAGCCUUGGGGCUAAUACCCUCGAGGAAGGACAUCACCCACAGAAGAAACACCGGCUAACUCCGUGCCAGCAGCCGCGGUAAUACGGAGGGUGCGAGCGUUAAUCGGAAUUACUGGGCGUAAAGCGCGCGUAGGCGGUCUGAUAAGCCGGUUGUGAAAGCCCCGGGCUCAACCUGGGAACGGCAUCCGGAACUGUCAGGCUAGAGUGCAGGAGAGGAAGGUAGAAUUCCCGGUGUAGCGGUGAAAUGCGUAGAGAUCGGGAGGAAUACCAGUGGCGAAGGCGGCCUUCUGGACUGACACUGACGCUGAGGUGCGAAAGCGUGGGUAGCAAACAGGAUUAGAUACCCCAGUAGUC
RNAcentral lists this ribosomal RNA (465 nucleotides) under Vreelandella stevensii. RNAcentral's name for it is "partial 16S ribosomal RNA". It matches the Rfam family "Bacterial small subunit ribosomal RNA", at positions 338 to 795 of the family's 1533-position model. The record is from RNAcentral. Lineage: Bacteria; Pseudomonadati; Pseudomonadota; Gammaproteobacteria; Oceanospirillales; Halomonadaceae.